Molecule: ribosomal RNA, 502 nt
Filed under: uncultured bacterium
Lineage: Bacteria
Description: partial 16S ribosomal RNA
Rfam family: Bacterial small subunit ribosomal RNA
Source: RNAcentral
AUUGAACGCUGGCGGCAUGCCUAACACAUGCAAGUCGAACGGCAGCACAGCCCGCAAGGGUGGGUGGCGAGUGGCGGACGGGUGAGGAAUACAUGGGAAUCUACCCUGUCGUGGGGGAUAACGUAGGGAAACUUACGCUAAUACCGCAUACGACCUCCGGGUGAAAGCGGCGGACCGCAAGGCGUCGCGCGACUGGAUGAGCCCAUGUCGGAUUAGCUAGUUGGCGGGGUAAAGGCCCACCAAGGCGACGAUCCGUAGCUGGUCUGGAAGGAUGAUCAGCCACACGGGAACUGAGACACGGUCCAGACUCCUACGGGAGGCAGCAGUGGGGAAUAUUGGACAAUGGGCGCAAGCCUGAUCCAGCAAUGCCGCGUGGGUGAAGAAGGCCUUCGGGUUGUAAAGCCCUUUUGUACGGGAAGAAAUCCUGUCGGUUAAUACCCGGCGGGGAUGACGGUACCGUAAGAAUAAGCACCGGCUAACUUCGUGCCAGCCGCCGCGGUAA